AAACUAACAGAUUUACUUCGGUAAUGACGUUAGGAAAGCGAGCGGCGGAUGGGUGAGUAACACGUGGGGAACCUGCCCCAUAGUCUGGGAUACCACUUGGAAACAGGUGCUAAUACCGGAUAAGAAAGCAGAUCGCAUGAUCAGCUUUUAAAAGGCGGCGUAAGCUGUCGCUAUGGGAUGGCCCCGCGGUGCAUUAGCUAGUUGGUAAGGUAAAGGCUUACCAAGGCGAUGAUGCAUAGCCGAGUUGAGAGACUGAUCGGCCACAUUGGGACUGAGACACGGCCCAAACUCCUACGGGAGGCAGCAGUAGGGAAUCUUCCGCAAUGGGCGAAAGCCUGACGGAGCAACGCCGCGUGAGUGAUGAAGGUCUUCGGAUCGUAAAACUCUGUUAUUAGGGAA
RNAcentral lists this ribosomal RNA (399 nucleotides) under uncultured Lactobacillus sp. Its description in RNAcentral is "bacterial SSU rRNA". It matches the Rfam family "Bacterial small subunit ribosomal RNA", at positions 64 to 446 of the family's 1533-position model. The record is from RNAcentral. Lineage: Bacteria; Bacillati; Bacillota; Bacilli; Lactobacillales; Lactobacillaceae.